UUAGUUCCAGGAUUUUUGAAUGAAGAUGAUGUACAACUGCUGAGGUUAUUUGUAAGUUAGUUUGAGUGCCGAAUCGUUCGUGCUGCAUCGGAAGAUCAUUUAGUCCAUGAGCUUGGGAACAGGUGGACUGCAGGAGCAACUAGCUUCCUAUAUUGAACUCCCGGCCCUGAUGAAAAAAAGACAUUUUAGUAUGUGAGAAGGUACCAGGUUUCCAGCCGGUAGGAAAUCCGAGCUUUUAUUGUAGUCAUCAAAUCUUGGUCUUUGAGGAUUCUGGUAACUCUACUUCUCAUCUUUUUCGGGUGUCAUUCAAACUCGUAUAAUAUAUUCAACUUGUGAUGUUUCCUACUUAUACAUGAGUG
Molecule: long non-coding RNA, 359 nt
Organism: Salvia splendens (bonfire salvia)
Lineage: Eukaryota; Viridiplantae; Streptophyta; Magnoliopsida; Lamiales; Lamiaceae
Exons: 4
Source: RefSeq, a predicted model, not a curated record